UCGGCUCUUAAGCCGACUCACUCAGUCAUUUCUGUCCGCUGUAGAGCCAUUACGAUGAUUGAGGUUAAUUGCGUAAAUAUUUCAGGUGGCCCGACGCAAUGCGUUUUGUCAUUGCAGCACCAAAAUAGAAAAUUACACGGAGCUUGUUUGUCUAUUCCAGCAAUAAAGAAGCUCUUUGUGGUGGCGCUGCCAUGAAUCUCGAUUCGAACCCCCGCUUCUUGAUUUGGAAGUGACAUUCGCAAUUUCUUUGGUGCAAGCUGAAUGCGGCAUUACUGAAUCAUUUUCCAAGUCGGCAAUAUGUCGUUGCUUGCCGGGAAGAAUUCCAGCGGAUUCUUGAUCAGUGUGGCCGAUUCAUCACAUUCCUGCUGUUCUCUUCAACAGAAACAUAGAUUACAACCUACAGCCUGUACAUAAAGGAACCAGGUCAAGGACCAACAUGAUGGAUGGGGUACAUUUAAAACAUAGUUUACAGCCACCCACUUCCAAGCUUUUUCAAUGACAAACAAAUCUUGAAGUCCCCUGAUGGAUAUUCACUGCUUCUUAAUUGAUUAGCUGUUUCUCUCACCCGAACGGAGGAGGGCUAAAUUAAAGAGUGGUUGUGUUUUCCUAACUGACACAGGCACUUUGUCAGUGAAAGGUUAUUGGCUCCUCUCCCAUCCUCAUGACCUGCCAGCGCAAUCCGACGGGGAGCCUCCGAAUCCAACUUCUAAUAAUUUCUCCUUGGCAGUUUUAAGCAGGAUCAGUGACCGAGCUGCUUGUGCGGAGGGGGCAGCUGGGAGCGAAGUCAUUUAGAUUCUGAUCACACGCUGGAUUUACCUCCCCCUGUGCAGCAACACAGAUAACCGCUGCUUGUUUGUGCUGUUUGGGUAAAUGGUAUAGCCUAUGUUUUGUCACAUGCUUUGAAAAAUAAGGAGACGCAUUAUAGAACACCUUUUUAUUGAUUUCCAGUUGUUGUUGAACUUGGUGGCAACUUGUUAGGCGUUUUGCUAUUGUGAAGGAGUGUGGGCUAAUAAUAUGAAUACUGAAAUCUAUUUUUGACAUUUUCAUAUUCAUGUAUACAGAUCUCCA
This is a long non-coding RNA of Cyprinus carpio carpio, 1068 nucleotides long. The record is from Ensembl. Lineage: Eukaryota; Metazoa; Chordata; Actinopteri; Cypriniformes; Cyprinidae.